Molecule: non-coding RNA, 274 nt
Organism: Pelobates cultripes (western spadefoot toad)
Lineage: Eukaryota; Metazoa; Chordata; Amphibia; Anura; Pelobatidae
Source: the annotation of a GenBank genome assembly
UAGCACGGUAACAUCUCAGUCUAACAACUCCUCUACAUCUCUGGAUCAUAUGUUAUUGGAGUUAUAAUCUCAAGGGUAAAUUAUAUUUUACCACAUUAAACCCUUUCCUGCACAGAUAGCAGGGACCUGAUACUAAUCGGACAAAACUGAGGAGAACCACAGGUUAGAAUAAAAUUCCACCAGUAAUUUAUAUUUGUAGCAAACAGUUAAAACAACCAUGAUAAUGGUAACACUGUUGAGGAAUUCACUUUGUCAAGAGAAAAAAACAAACAAA